Molecule: ribosomal RNA, 404 nt
Filed under: uncultured prokaryote
Description: bacterial SSU rRNA
Rfam family: Bacterial small subunit ribosomal RNA
Source: RNAcentral
UGAGGAAUAUUGGGCAAUGGGCGAAAGCCUGACCCAGCCACGCCGCGUGUGUGAUGAAGGCCUUCGGGUUGUAAACUGCUUUUGCGUGGGACGAUAACGACGGAACCACGCGAAUCAGCCCCGGCUAACUCUGUGCCAGCAGCCGCGGUAAUACAGAGGGGGCAAGCGUUGUCCGGACUUACUGGGCGUAAAGCGCACGCAGGUGGUAACGCAAGUGGGGUGUGAAAGCCGCCAGCUCAACUGGCGGAGGCCAUCCCAAACUGCGUCACUUGAGGCCUGUAGAGGUAUGUGGAAUUGCCGGUGUAGUGGUGAAAUGCGUAGAGAUCGGCAGGAACACCCAGGGGGAAACCAGCAUACUGGACAGGUCCGGACACUCAGGUGCGACAGCGUGGGGAGCGAACCGG